CAGUAGCCGCGGGAAUACGUAGGUGGCAAGCGUUGUCCGGAAUUAUUGGGCGUAAAGGGCUCGCAGGCGGUUUCUUAAGUCUGAUGUGAAAGCCCCCGGCUCAACCGGGGAGGGUCAUUGGAAACUGGGAAACUUGAGUGCAGAAGAGGAGAGUGGAAUUCCACGUGUAGCGGUGAAAUGCGUAGAGAUGUGGAGGAACACCAGUGGCGAAGGCGACUCUCUGGUCUGUAACUGACGCUGAGGAGCGAAAGCGUGGGGAGCGAACAGGAUUAGAUACCCCGGUAGUCCCUGUCUCUUAUAU
Molecule: ribosomal RNA, 301 nt
Filed under: uncultured bacterium
Lineage: Bacteria
Description: partial 16S ribosomal RNA
Rfam family: Bacterial small subunit ribosomal RNA
Source: RNAcentral